RNAcentral lists this ribosomal RNA (766 nucleotides) under Austrochloritis nambucca. RNAcentral describes it as "partial large subunit ribosomal RNA". It matches the Rfam family "Bacterial large subunit ribosomal RNA", at positions 683 to 2558 of the family's 2925-position model. The record is from RNAcentral. Lineage: Eukaryota; Metazoa; Mollusca; Gastropoda; Stylommatophora; Camaenidae.
UUAAUUAAAGAAUAGAAUAUUAUUAGACACGAAGUUGAUGGAGCUAAUUAUUAUUACUAAUAGGUAUUAAGAUGUAGUAUAAUUAAAAGAAUAAUAACUAGGAGUGAUAGGCUUAUCAUAAUCAACGAUAACUUGAUGGUUUAGAAAUGUAAUAAUACAAAGACACUCUUGAAAUGAUAAGGUUUUAAGAGCCCAAUUAACGGUUAUCUUACGUAAGUACAUUAUUUAAGCGUAUGUACAUUAAAAUGCUAGUAUUAAUUUGACAUGGUUGUUUCAACUAUAAACCUAUCAAUCAAUUUUUUUCCGGGAUAAAUAAUGUUAAUAUUAGUAGCGAAGAGAUAUUGACAUCGAACUCGGCGAAAGGUCUUUCAACUGUUUAUCAAAAACAUAGCUGUAUGGGUUAAUAUACAGUAAUUUCUGCUCAAUGAAUAAUUAAAUAGCCGCAGUACCCUGACUGUGCUAAGGUAGCGCAAUCAAUUGACUUUUAAAUGAAGUCCCGUAUAAAAGAAACCAUGGGGGAUCACUUUUCCGUUGAUAAUGAAUGAAUUUGCUUAAAGAGUGAAAAUACUCUUAAAUAAAUGAAAGACGAGAAGACCCUAGAAAUUUUAAGAACUUAACUUUUUGUUGGGGCAACACAGUAGUAAUAUUAAUCUACUAUGAUGACAUGGCGGGAAUAUCUCGGAAGAUAAAAUUACUCUAGGGAUAACAGCAUAAUUUGAAAAAGUUUGUGACCUCGAUGUUGGAUUAGGGAAUUUUCGUUUAGAAG